This 73-nucleotide transfer RNA is filed under the name Sus scrofa (pig). It matches the Rfam family "tRNA". From Rfam's summary of the family: Transfer RNA (tRNA) molecules are approximately 80 nucleotides in length. The record is from Rfam by way of RNAcentral. Lineage: Eukaryota; Metazoa; Chordata; Mammalia; Artiodactyla; Suidae.
UCCAUGGUGGCUCAAGAGUUAAGGGUCCAGUGUUUUCACUGCUGAGGCCCAGGUUCGAUCCCUGGCCCAGGAA